CAGUGGCGAUGGCGCCCUUCCCUGAAGAAGUGGACGUCUUCACCGCCCCACACUGGCGGAUGAAGCAGCUGGUGGGGCUCUACUGCGACAAGAAUGAAUAUGAACAGUUAAAUUAUGCAAAACAACUGAAAGAGAGAUUGGAGGCUUUUACAAGAGAUUUUCUUCCUCACAUGAAAGAGGAAGAGGAGGUUUUUCAGCCCAUGUUAAUGGAAUAUUUUACCUAUGAAGAGCUUAAGGAUAUUAAAAAGAAAGUGAUUGCACAACACUGCUCUCAGAAGGAUACUGCAGAACUCCUUAGAGGUCUUAGCCUAUGGAAUCAUGCUGAAGAGCGACAGAAGUUUUUUAAAUAUUCCGUGGAUGAAAAGUCAGAUAAAGAAGCAGAAGUGUCAGAACACUCCACAGGUAUAACCCAUCUUCCUCCUGAGGUAAUGCUGUCAAUUUUCAGCUAUCUUAAUCCUCAAGAGUUAUGUCGAUGCAGUCAAGUAAGCAUGAAAUGGUCUCAGCUGACAAAAACGGGAUCGCUUUGGAAACAUCUUUACCCUGUUCAUUGGGCCAGAGGUAGGUAAAUGGGUUUUUAAAAUAUUUUCAUGUAUUUUUCUAGAUGAAUAUUCAUUUACAUUAAUGAGCAAGGCCAGAGAGAGAAACUCUGAGAGGUCAAUCAAAAAGUAGAUUUUAUAGU
Molecule: small RNA, 679 nt
Filed under: Pan troglodytes (chimpanzee)
Lineage: Eukaryota; Metazoa; Chordata; Mammalia; Primates; Hominidae
Description: retained intron
Source: RNAcentral